This 513-nucleotide ribosomal RNA is filed under the name uncultured bacterium. Its description in RNAcentral is "bacterial SSU rRNA". It matches the Rfam family "Bacterial small subunit ribosomal RNA", at positions 30 to 490 of the family's 1533-position model. The record is from RNAcentral.
AUUGAACGCUGGCGGCAUGCCUUACACAUGCAAGUCGAACGGUAACAGGUCUUCGGAUGCUGACGAGUGGCGAACGGGUGAGUAAUACAUCGGAACGUGCCCGAGAGUGGGGGAUAACGCAGCGAAAGCUGUGCUAAUACCGCAUACGAUCUACGGAUGAAAGCAGGGGAUUCGCAAGGACCUUGCGCUCAUGGAGCGGCCGAUGGCAGAUUAGGUAGUUGGUGGGAUAAAAGCUUACCAAGCCGACGAUCUGUAGCUGGUCUGAGAGGACGACCAGCCACACUGGGACUGAGACACGGCCCAGACUCCUACGGGAGGCAGCAGUGGGGAAUUUUGGACAAUGGGGGCAACCCUGAUCCAGCCAUGCCGCGUGAGUGAAGAAGGCCUUCGGUUGUAAAGACUCUUUCGUCCGGGAAAAACGUACGACGAUCAGUUAAUAACCUGGUGUGGAGUGUAUAGGUACCGGAACGUAAAGAAAGGACAACCGGACCGUAACCGUAACGUACGCCGACG